RNAcentral lists this non-coding RNA (202 nucleotides) under Aminobacter sp. Lineage: Bacteria; Pseudomonadati; Pseudomonadota; Alphaproteobacteria; Hyphomicrobiales; Phyllobacteriaceae. The record is from RNAcentral.
CCUAAAUCGCCCACAGACGGUCCUUCGCCCGCAACGGCGGAGGCUAAGAGGGAAUGCGGUGCGGCGCAUAUGCGCCAAAACCGCGGCUGUCCCCGCAACUGUGAGCGAAGAGCCAGACCCGAAGACCACUGGGAUUUCCCGGGAAGGCGGGCGAAGGCGACGAUCCGCAAGCCAGGAGACCUGCCGUCGCAGACAUUGAUCC